GGAAGAACCAAGAUGAGUGCUAAGGAGAAGUUGGGGGAGAGGCUUUGCUUUUGAUUGAGAGGACAGUUUGAAUGUCAAGAAAGAGGCCAACUGCAAAGAUCUAGGGGCAGGGAAUUCAGGCACAGAGAUAGGUAACUGUACAGGGCCUACGGUGGACAGGAAAAGGCCAGUGUGAUUGGAUCACAGUGUGGGAGGGGGAUGGCUUUUGGAGGGAGGUGCAUUUGAAGUUGUAGUAGGAAAGAGGGGCCAGACCAUUUAUCACUAUUUACUGAUAUCUCUCCAUUUUCCUCUCUAGCUCCACCCUCCACCCUGUUCUAUGGCCCUGGGCGUGACUUGCUCUUGCCCCUUGCCUUCUGUUUGGAUCCUGCCAAUGAGGACUCCUAGCAGGAGAUGGGGGCUCUCAUAUUUAACUGAAAGGCUCAGCUCCACGCAGCGUUUCUGUCUCCAGCCCACACAGCACGAUGAGAUAAAGACUAGAGGCUGCUCACUGCUGAGAGUGGACCAUCCAGCUCAUUUGGUCACAUAAUUUCCAGCCAGCCACCUUAUGGGCAAGAUUUUGGCUCACCUGUAAGCUAUUAGCUGGUAAGUGCUAACAUAAUCUACCUCCCAGCUGGUGAGUUGUCAAGGGAUAGAAAGAGCUAUGGAUAGAAGAGCUAAAAUCUGCUUGAAGUCACAGCACUGUUUGGGUCAUCUUUGCUGCAGCGCAACCUCUCUGAGCUUCAGUUACCUCACCUAGGUAAUGAUAAUAAUAUCUUCCUAUCUUGUAGACUACUGAGCAGUUUUUCAAACAUCAAUUAUUGCAUUGUAAAAACCUCAGUGACAGGAGUAUAUGGAAUCCUCAGGAUUGAUCACAGUGUUCUGCUUGAUGUUUGCACCUGGGAAAAUGCUUGUGGUUGAUUUUAACCACUCUGAAACAACAGCUCAGGGAAGGACAGCGCAGAAGAGGGAAAAUCUUGAUAGCUCCUUGCCAUUAACCACUUGCUUUCACUACCUAUUGAAAUCACCAGCUUUAAUCGCUUCCUGCAGCAAAUUCCUGGAGAGAAGAGACUAAAAAAAGUGAGAAAACGUGUCUAGAAGUGCCAUCUUGGAUGAUUUUAGGUUAUUAAAUAACAGCCUUACAGAGGGGUUGACUGUCAUGAUUUUAUUGCCGAUUCCAUCCUUGGUUAUAUUUCCCGAAGUUUUAAAAUCA
This 1189-nucleotide long non-coding RNA is filed under the name Homo sapiens (human). RNAcentral describes it as "HSALNT0219775". The record is from RNAcentral. Lineage: Eukaryota; Metazoa; Chordata; Mammalia; Primates; Hominidae.